GCGUACGAGAUUAUGCGCAUGCAUUCUCACCUCGGUCAUUGUUUUGAUAGACAUGCAACGAGUAGUGUGAGAGAGACGCUCACUCUCUGGGAACGGUGUACAACAGUAUGUUGAGCAUUUCAACCCUCGUGAGGUGAAUGUGAUGUUCUGUAGGAGCUGAUUGUUACGCUCUUCACCAAUCAGCUGAUUGAACUUCUAUUCAAUAUGAAGGGAAGGGCAAAAAAGAUAAAAUUUGAAUUGAAGACAAUAAAUUGUUUUCAGCAAUAAAAGCUGCUGUCAUGAAAUGGGACCCAGCUGCUACAGAGGCCCAAAUAAAGUCUGCUGCAUCUGAUCAUCUGAAACAUGCCCCGGGAGAGUCAGGGGUGGUGGCUGUAAAUGAAUAUAUUGUGGACCUUAUAGCAGCCACAUUUUGUUAAUUGUUUACUGUUUUAACAAAAUUUUAUAGCACUUUUAUUUAUAACUUUACUGUUCAGGUUUUAAGUUGUAUUGUGUUAAUUUAUACUUGACUGUUCAGGUUUUAAGUUGUAUUGUGUUAAUUUAUACUUGACUGUUCAGGUUUUAAGUUGUAUUGUGUUAAUUUAUACUUGACUGUUCAGGUUUUAAGUUGUAUUGUGUUAAUUUAUACUUGACUGUUCAGGUUUUAAGUUGUAUUGUGUUAAUUUAUACUUUACUGUUCUGGUUUUAAGCUUGGGUAAAAUUUGUAAUAAAAAUAUAU
This is a long non-coding RNA of Xyrauchen texanus (razorback sucker), 715 nucleotides long. RefSeq lists it as uncharacterized. The transcript is spliced from 4 exons. NCBI's taxonomy places the organism in Eukaryota, Metazoa, Chordata, Actinopteri, Cypriniformes, Catostomidae. The record is from RefSeq and is a predicted model, not a curated record.